This 253-nucleotide ribosomal RNA is filed under the name uncultured bacterium. RNAcentral's name for it is "partial 16S ribosomal RNA". It matches the Rfam family "Bacterial small subunit ribosomal RNA", at positions 524 to 776 of the family's 1533-position model. The record is from RNAcentral.
UACGUAGGGGGCAAGCGUUGUCCGGAAUUAUUGGGCGUAAAGAGCGCGUAGGCGGUCCGGUAAGUCAGCUGUGAAAGUCAAGGGCUCAACCCUUGAAAGCCGGCUGAUACUGCCGGACUAGAGUCCGGAAGAGGCGAGUGGAAUUCCCGGUGUAGCGGUGAAAUGCGCAGAUAUCGGGAGGGACACCAAUGGCGAAGGCAGCUCGCUGGGACGGUACUGACGCUGAGGAGCGAAAGCGUGGGGAGCGAACAGG